RNAcentral lists this ribosomal RNA (705 nucleotides) under uncultured bacterium. RNAcentral's name for it is "bacterial SSU rRNA". It matches the Rfam family "Bacterial small subunit ribosomal RNA", at positions 59 to 762 of the family's 1533-position model. The record is from RNAcentral.
CAGUCGAACGAAGCACCUUAUUUGAUUUUCUUCGGAACUGAAGAUUUGGUGACUGAGUGGCGGACGGGUGAGUAACGCGUGGGUAACCUGCCCUGUACAGGGGGAUAACAAUCAGAAAUGACUGCUAAUACCGCAUAAGACCACAGCACCUCAUGGUGCAGGGGUAAAAACUCCGGUGGUACAGGAUGGACCCGCGUCUGAUUAGCUGGUUGGUGAGGUAACGGCUCACCAAGGCGACGAUCAGUAGCCGGCUUGAGAGAGUGAACGGCCACAUUGGGACUGAGACACGGCCCAAACUCCUACGGGAGGCAGCAGUGGGGAAUAUUGCACAAUGGGGGGAACCCUGAUGCAGCGACGCCGCGUGAGUGAAGAAGUAUUUCGGUAUGUAAAGCUCUAUCAGCAGGGAAGAAAAUGACGGUACCUGACUAAGAAGCCCCGGCUAACUACGUGCCAGCAGCCGCGGUAAUACGUAGGGGGCAAGCGUUAUCCGGAAUUACUGGGUGUAAAGGGUGCGUAGGUGGUAUGGCAAGUCAGAAGUGAAAACCCAGGGCUUAACUCUGGGACUGCUUUUGAAACUGUCAGACUGGAGUGCAGGAGAGGUAAGCGGAAUUCCUAGUGUAGCGGUGAAGUGCGUAGAUAUUAGGAGGAACAUCAGUGGCGAAGGCGGCUUACUGGACUGAAACUGACACUGAGGCACGAAAGCGU